AACGAACGCUGGCGGCAUGCCUAACACAUGCAAGUCGAACGAAACCUUCGGGUCUAGUGGCGCACGGGUGCGUAACGCGUGGGAACCUGCCCUUAGGUUCGGAAUAACUCCCCGAAAGGGGUGCUAAUACCGGAUCAUGUCUUCGGACCAAAGAUUUAUCGCCUUUGGAUGGGCCCGCGUUGGAUUAGCUAGUUGGUAGGGUAAAAGCCUACCAAGGCGACGAUCCAUAGCUGGUCUGAGAGGAUGAUCAGCCACACUGGGACUGAGACACGGCCCAGACUCCUACGGGAGGCAGCAGUGGGGAAUAUUGGACAAUGGGCGAAAGCCUGAUCCAGCAAUGCCGCGUGAGUGAUGAAGGCCUUAGGGUUGUAAAGCUCUUUUACCCGGGAUGAUAAUGACAGUACCGGGAGAAUAAGCUCCGGCUAACUCCGUG
This 433-nucleotide ribosomal RNA is filed under the name uncultured bacterium. RNAcentral describes it as "partial 16S ribosomal RNA". It matches the Rfam family "Bacterial small subunit ribosomal RNA", at positions 29 to 507 of the family's 1533-position model. The record is from RNAcentral.